GGAAAGGUAGCUCAGUUGGUAGAGCAGUUGGCUUUUAACCAAUUGGUCCUGGGUUCGAGUCCCAGCCCUUCCA
Molecule: transfer RNA, 73 nt
Filed under: Verrucomicrobiales bacterium
Lineage: Bacteria; Pseudomonadati; Verrucomicrobiota; Verrucomicrobiia; Verrucomicrobiales
Description: tRNA-Lys
Rfam family: tRNA
About the family: Transfer RNA (tRNA) molecules are approximately 80 nucleotides in length.
Source: RNAcentral